UCGUGGGCAACAACUUUAGUCCCCUUCCCCAUACCCUAUGGGUACUUAAGUGUCCAUACCCGCACCCAUUACCCGCACUUUAACUAUGGAAAAACAAAAAAAAAAUAUCACAAAUGAAAUAAAACUACGAUCUCAAUUUUUUAAAAUUAACUCAUAAAAUAACAUGAACCGUGAUAUUUAGUCAAAUAGAAAACAUCCGAAAUAUUCCUAAAAAAUUAUACACCGG
Molecule: long non-coding RNA, 226 nt
Filed under: Medicago truncatula (barrel medic)
Lineage: Eukaryota; Viridiplantae; Streptophyta; Magnoliopsida; Fabales; Fabaceae
Description: long non-coding RNA (MTRU_LNC008039)
Source: RNAcentral